AAAGGACCCUGCAGUCAUUGGAAUUGCUAAAAACCCCUUCCUGGGAGCGAAGGGGCUGGCAAACCCAGAGGAGUGGAGAGGGUUAGGAGACUAACACGGCUGCUACUCUGAAACAUGAUAAAACAGAGAAGCAGAAGACUGUCUGAGACUGCUGGAGAGCAGGAACUUUGAUACACUCGCGCUCUCCCCCGCAAAGGGGAACUACUACAGUGACCUAGUCAGAGGGCUGAGUCAUGAAGAGGACAGCUGCAGCUCCUGAGGGUGAGAGAAGGGCUGUAGAGGAGAAAUUGGGGGGGGGGGGCAUAACUGCUGGCAGGGGCAUCUCCCUGACCAAGCUAAUCCCCAGAACUGCUAGGAGGUGGUACCAUCCCAUGUGUAAAUGAAGAGUAACUACACGGAUGUCAGUGGAGUUCAACCAGUGUAAAGUGAGAGCAAAAACAGUCUUCCUAUCUACUUGAGACACAUGCCUAUGGAGGCAUCAAUCUAGGAGUUCUGGUCAAGCUGGAGACUCCGAAAUAACAUAUUCACAUUUUGAAGCUGACUGAAAUAUAGAAGAUCGGGAUGUUUGUUGGUCACUUCAGAGUAUUUUAGAUCUUGUAACAUACCUGUUAAGCCAAUGGCUUAAGAUCUUGGAAAAUCCUAAUAGGAGACAUAUGGGUAUUGUUUAUACAAUAAGUUGUUAGAAGGUUACUGCUGAGACUGGUACAAUCAUAAUUUGACUAACACUUAGUGAUCAUAGUUAUACAUUAGGCCACUGGCUUUUUUAAAGCAACACUGGAACAACAAACCAGUGUGUGCUUGAGCUGACUGGGGGGAAAACAGGGUGUAAGAGAGAUAGUGCUUGAGGGCUUAACUCUUGUGGCAUGACAUGACCCUGCCUCCAUUUUCCUUCUGAGUGGCGGGGGGUCUUAAAGAUUCCACACAGCCCAAAAGGGAGCAGAAAGGGUUCUAUUUUGAGUCCAAAUACAUUUAAAUCAAGUUUCUUCCCCCUUGGCUUUAGGGGGUUGCAUAACCUUUCUCCUUGGGGCCUGUUUCCCCCAGUCCUAGACUCCCGGCCAGUAAUAUCUGGAAUUCUUCUCCCUUCAGGGUUUUGUUGUCUGAGCACCUCCCUGCAACUGAAACCUCUUGAGGCCCAGCUACUCCUUGGUAAAUUAACUGACUUGCUGGGCUCCAUCUCUUUAAAUUAGCUCCUCACAGGUAGCCUGAGCCCAGGCUGUCCUUAAAGGGACUAACAGCUUUGUGAAAUGGGCAGGGAAUUGAAAAAAUAAAAUUGAAAUGUUUCCCCUGACUUUUUUUCUAUUCAAAAAUUGAAAUAUUGCCAACUUCAAUUUUGCAAAACUGUAACCAGCUCUACAGGUCCUUAAAAUGGAAGGGAGGUUUGCAAACCUUUCAUCAAAA
Long non-coding RNA from Dermochelys coriacea (leatherback sea turtle), 1398 nucleotides. RefSeq lists it as uncharacterized. The transcript has 5 exons. NCBI's taxonomy places the organism in Eukaryota, Metazoa, Chordata, Testudines, Dermochelyidae. The record is from RefSeq and is a predicted model, not a curated record.